UACGUAGGGUGCAAGCGUUGUCCGGAAUUAUUGGGCGUAAAGGGUGCGUAGGCGGCGUGGUAAGUCGGGUGUGAAAACUUCAGGCUCAACCUGGAGCGGCCACUCGAUACUGCCAUGGCUUGAGUCCGGUAGGGGACCACGGAAUUCCUGGUGUAGCGGUGAAAUGCGCAGAUAUCAGGAGGAACACCGGUGGCGAAGGCGGUGGUCUGGGCCGGAACUGACGCUGAGGAGCGAAAGCGUGGGGAGCGAACAGG
This 254-nucleotide ribosomal RNA is filed under the name uncultured bacterium. RNAcentral's name for it is "partial 16S ribosomal RNA". It matches the Rfam family "Bacterial small subunit ribosomal RNA", at positions 524 to 776 of the family's 1533-position model. The record is from RNAcentral.